Molecule: ribosomal RNA, 526 nt
Filed under: Bacteroidales bacterium
Lineage: Bacteria; Pseudomonadati; Bacteroidota; Bacteroidia; Bacteroidales
Description: partial 23S ribosomal RNA
Rfam family: Bacterial large subunit ribosomal RNA
Source: RNAcentral
GAUCGAAGGGCGCAUGGGGGAUGCCUUGGCUCUCGGAGGCGAGGAAGGACGUGACAAGCUGCGAUAAGCCACGGCGAGGGGCAAAUACCCAUUGACCCGUGGAUCUCCGAAUGGGGCAACCCGGCGGGAGCGAUCCCGUCACCCUGCAGAGCAGGGGGCGAACGUGGGGAACUGAAACAUCUAAGUACCCGCAGGAAGAGAAAGUAAGAACGAUUCCCCAAGUAGCGGCGAGCGAACGGGGAUGAGCCCAAACCGGCGGUGUCGCAAGGCAUGUGCCGGGGUUAUAGGACCGACAUAACGGACCAAGGAUUCUAGUGGAAGCGCAUGGAGCGGCGCGCCACAGCGGGUGAGAGCCCCUUACACGAAAGGAUCCGCGGAACAGGUCGGCACCUGAGUAGGCCGGGACACGAGAAAUCCCGGUUGAAUUGUCGGGGACCAUCCCGAAAGGCUAAAUACUACCGAGAGACCGAUAGCGAACGAGUACCGUGAGGGAAAGGUGAAAAGCACCUCGGACAGAGGAGUGAAA